UACGAAGGGGGCUAGCGUUGCUCGGAAUGACUGGGCGUAAAGGGCGCGUAGGCGGAUGGCACAGUCAGAUGUGAAAUUCCCGGGCUUAACCUGGGGGCUGCAUUUGAUACGUGUUGUCUAGAGUGAGGAAGAGGGUUGUGGAAUUCCCAGUGUAGAGGUGAAAUUCGUAGAUAUUGGGAAGAACACCGGUGGCGAAGGCGGCGACCUGGUCCUUUUACUGACGCUGAGGCGCGAAAGCGUGGGGAGCAAACAGG
Molecule: ribosomal RNA, 254 nt
Filed under: uncultured bacterium
Lineage: Bacteria
Description: partial 16S ribosomal RNA
Rfam family: Bacterial small subunit ribosomal RNA
Source: RNAcentral